RNAcentral lists this ribosomal RNA (253 nucleotides) under uncultured bacterium. Its description in RNAcentral is "partial 16S ribosomal RNA". It matches the Rfam family "Bacterial small subunit ribosomal RNA", at positions 524 to 776 of the family's 1533-position model. The record is from RNAcentral.
UACGAAGGGGGCUAGCGUUGUUCGGAUUUACUGGGCGUAAAGCGCACGUAGGCGGAUCGAUCAGUCAGGGGUGAAAUCCCAGAGCUCAACUCUGGAACUGCCUUUGAUACUGUCGAUCUGGAGUAUGGAAGAGGUGAGUGGAAUUCCGAGUGUAGAGGUGAAAUUCGUAGAUAUUCGCAAGAACACCAGUGGCGAAGGCGGCCGACUGGUCCGGUUCUGACGCUGAGGCGCGAAAGCGUGGGGAGCAAACAGG